Molecule: ribosomal RNA, 450 nt
Filed under: uncultured bacterium
Lineage: Bacteria
Description: bacterial SSU rRNA
Rfam family: Bacterial small subunit ribosomal RNA
Source: RNAcentral
CAGUGGGGAAUAUUGCACAAUGGGCGCUAAGCCUGAUGCAGCCAUGCCGCGUGUAUGAAGUAAGGCCUUCGGGUUGUAAAGUACUUUCAGCAGUGAGGAAGGUGGGUAUGUUAAUAGCAUACUCAUUUGACGUUAGCUGCAGAAGAAGCACCGGCUAACUCCGUGCCAGCAGCCGCGGUAAUACGGAGGGUGCGAGCGUUAAUCGGAAUUACUGGGCGUAAAGCGCAUGCAGGUGGUUUGUUAAGUCAGAUGUGAAAGCCCGGGGCUCAACCUCGGAAUUGCAUUUGAAACUGGCAAACUAGAGUACUGUAGAGGGGGUAGAAUUUCAGGUGUAGCGGUGAAAUGCGUAGAGAUCUGAAGGAAUACCGGUGGCGAAGGCGGCCCCCUGGACAGAUACUGACACUCAGAUGCGAAAGCGUGGGGAGCAAACAGGAUUAGAUACCCUGGUAG